GGGGGGGGGGGGGGGGGGGGCGGGCGCGGGGGAGGGGGGCGAUUGCGGGCGGGGGGUAGUGGCGCACGGGUGAGUAACGCGUGGGGAUCUGCCCUUAGGUUCGGAAUAACAGCUGGAAACGGCUGCUAAUACCGGCUGAUAUCGCGAGAUCAAAGAUUUAUCGCCUGAGGAUGAGCCCGCGUUGGAUUAGGUAGUUGGUGGGGUAAAGGCCUACCAAGCCGACGAUCCAUAGCUGGUCGGAGAGGAUGAUCAGCCACACUGGGACUGAGACACGGCCCAGACUCCUACGGGAGGCAGCAGUGGGGAAUAUUGGACCAUGGGCGCAAGCCUGAUCCAGCAAUGCCGCGUGAGUGAUGAAGGCCCUAGGGUUGUAAAGCUCUUUUACCCGGGAAGAUAAUGACUGUACCGGGAGAAUAAGCCCCGGCUAACUCCGUG
This 435-nucleotide ribosomal RNA is filed under the name uncultured bacterium. RNAcentral's name for it is "partial 16S ribosomal RNA". It matches the Rfam family "Bacterial small subunit ribosomal RNA", at positions 38 to 507 of the family's 1533-position model. The record is from RNAcentral.